AUCUGCCUGGUAGUGGGGGACAACGUUUCGAAAGGAACGCUAAUACCGCAUACGUCCUACGGGAGAAAGCAGGGGACCUUCGGGCCUUGCGCUAUCAGAUGAGCCUAGGUCGGAUUAGCUAGUUGGUGAGGUAAUGGCUCACCAAGGCGACGAUCCGUAACUGGUCUGAGAGGAUGAUCAGUCACACUGGAACUGAGACACGGUCCAGACUCCUACGGGAGGCAGCAGUGGGGAAUAUUGGACAAUGGGCGAAAGCCUGAUCCAGCCAUGCCGCGUGUGUGAAGAAGGUCUUCGGAUUGUAAAGCACUUUAAGUUGGGAGGAAGGGUUGUAGAUUAAUACUCUGCAAUUUUGACGUUACCGACAGAAUAAGCACCGGCUAACUCUGUGCCAGCAGCCGCGGUAAUACAGAGGGUGCAAGCGUUAAUCGGAAUUACUGGGCGUAAAGCGCGCGUAGGUGGUUUGUUAAGUUGGAUGUGAAAUCCCCGGGCUCAACCUGGGAACUGCAUCCAAAACUGGCAAGCUAGAGUAUGGUAGAGGGUGGUGGAAUUUCCUGUGUAGCGGUGAAAUGCGUAGAUAUAGGAAGGAACACCAGUGGCGAAGGCGACCACCUGGACUGAUACUGACACUGAGGUGCGAAAGCGUG
Molecule: ribosomal RNA, 644 nt
Filed under: Pseudomonas sp. GA02-2
Lineage: Bacteria; Pseudomonadati; Pseudomonadota; Gammaproteobacteria; Pseudomonadales; Pseudomonadaceae
Description: bacterial SSU rRNA
Rfam family: Bacterial small subunit ribosomal RNA
Source: RNAcentral